AUUGAACGCUGGCGGCAUGCCUAACACAUGCAAGUCGAACGGUAACGAUGGGAGCUUGCUCCCAGGCGACGAGUGGCGGACGGGUGAGUAAUACUUAGGAAUCUGCCCAGUAGUGGGGGACAACUCGAGGAAACUCGAGCUAAUACCGCAUACGCCCUACGGGGAAAGCGGGGGAUCUUCGGACCUCGCGCUAUUGGAUGAGCCUAAGUCGGAUUAGUUUGUUGGUGAGGUAAAGGCUCACCAAGGCGACGAUCCGUAGCUGGUCUGAGAGGACGAUCAGCCACACUGGGACUGAGACACGGUCCAGACUUCUACGGGAGGCAGCAGUGGGGAAUCUUGGACAAUGGGGGCAACCCUGAUCCAGCCAUGCCGCGUGAGUGAUGAAGGCCUUAGGGUCGUAAAGCUCUUUCGCCAGAGAUGAUAAUGACAGUAUCUGGUAAAGAAGUCCCGGCUAACUCCGUG
Molecule: ribosomal RNA, 462 nt
Filed under: uncultured bacterium
Lineage: Bacteria
Description: bacterial SSU rRNA
Rfam family: Bacterial small subunit ribosomal RNA
Source: RNAcentral